Molecule: non-coding RNA, 74 nt
Organism: Pteropus alecto (black flying fox)
Lineage: Eukaryota; Metazoa; Chordata; Mammalia; Chiroptera; Pteropodidae
Source: Rfam
GGCUCCAUAGUGUAGUGGUUAGCAUGUUUGCUUUACAUGCAGAAGGUCCUGGGUUCAUGCCCCAGGUGGAGUCA